UGGGGAAUAUUGGACAAUGGGCGAAAGCCUGAUCCAGACAAUGCCGCGUGAGUGAUGAAGGCCUUAGGGUUGUAAAGCUCUUUUACCCGGGAUGAUAAUGACAGUACCGGGAGAAUAAGCUCCGGCUAACUCCGUGCCAGCAGCCGCGGUAAUACGGAGGGAGCUAGCGUUGUUCGGAAUUACUGGGCGUAAAGCGCACGUAGGCGGCUUUGUAAGUUAGAGGUGAAAGCCCGGGGCUCAACCCCGGAACUGCUUUUAAAACUGUCAUCGCUUGAAUCCAGGAGAGGUGAGUGGAAUUCCGAGUGUAGAGGUGAAAUUCGUAGAUAUUCGGAAGAACACCAGUGGCGAAGGCGGCUCACUGGACUGGUAUUGACGCUGAGGUGCGAAAGCGUGGGGAGCGAAACAGGAUUAGGAUACCCUGGUAGUCCACGCCGUAAACGAUGAUAACUAGCUGUCGGGGCUCUUAGAGUUUCGGUGGCGCAGCUAACGCAUU
This 493-nucleotide ribosomal RNA is filed under the name uncultured Pseudomonadota bacterium. Its description in RNAcentral is "bacterial SSU rRNA". It matches the Rfam family "Bacterial small subunit ribosomal RNA", at positions 355 to 861 of the family's 1533-position model. The record is from RNAcentral. Lineage: Bacteria; Pseudomonadati; Pseudomonadota.